UGCUACAUGUCACCGCAUGGUGGUGUGUGGAAAGGGUUUACUGGUCUUGGAUGGGCUCACGGCCUAUCAGCUUGUUGGUGAGGUAAUGGCUCACCAAGGCGACGACGGGUAGCCGGCCUGAGAGGGUGACCGGCCACACUGGGACUGAGACACGGCCCAGACUCCUACGGGAGGCAGCAGUGGGGAAUAUUGCACAAUGGGCGAAAGCCUGAUGCAGCGACGCCGCGUGAGGGAUGACGGCCUUCGGGUUGUAAACCUCUUUCAGCAGGGAAGAAGCCACAAGUGACGGUACCUGCAGAAGAAGCGCCGGCUAACUACGUGCCAGCAGCCGCGGUAAUACGUAGGGCGCAAGCGUUGUCCGGAAUUAUUGGGCGUAAAGAGCUCGUAGGCGGUUUGUCGCGUCUGCUGUGAAAGCCCGGGGCUUAACCCCGGGUGUGCAGUGGGUACGGGCAGACUAGAGUGCAGUAGGGGAGACUGGAAUUCCUGGUGUAGCGGUGGAAUGCGCAGAUAUCAGGAGGAACACCGAUGGCGAAGGCAGGUCUCUGGGCUGUUACUGACGCUGAGGAGCGAAAGCAUGGGGAGCGAACAGGAUUAGAUACCCUGGUAGUCCAUGCCGUAAACGUUGGGCACUAGGUGUGGGGGACAUUCCACGUUUUCCGCGCCGUAGCUAACGCAUUAAG
This 680-nucleotide ribosomal RNA is filed under the name Kocuria palustris. Its description in RNAcentral is "bacterial SSU rRNA". It matches the Rfam family "Bacterial small subunit ribosomal RNA", at positions 173 to 864 of the family's 1533-position model. Lineage: Bacteria; Bacillati; Actinomycetota; Actinomycetes; Micrococcales; Micrococcaceae. The record is from RNAcentral.